UGCCCAGCAAUUCCUAUCCCUACCUCCACGCGGUACCGGCCGGAAACUAUGAGCAACCUUAGGGAAGAUCGAGUAACCAACCCCGGUGGGAACUUUGGUCGUAGGCAGACAGGGAAGG
This is a non-coding RNA of Aedes albopictus (Asian tiger mosquito), 118 nucleotides long. Lineage: Eukaryota; Metazoa; Arthropoda; Insecta; Diptera; Culicidae. The record is from Rfam.